This 700-nucleotide unclassified non-coding RNA is filed under the name Hevea brasiliensis (rubber tree). The record is from RNAcentral. Lineage: Eukaryota; Viridiplantae; Streptophyta; Magnoliopsida; Malpighiales; Euphorbiaceae.
CGGCAACACCAGGAAGCUCUUCUGUGGCCUCGCUGCCACCAUUUUCUCUAUUAUCAUGUAUGGCUCACCUCUGUCCAUCAUGAGGUUGGUGAUUAAAACUAAGAGUGUAGAGUUCAUGCCAUUUUUCUUGUCACUUUUUGUGUUCCUGUGUGGCACUUCCUGGUUCAUCUAUGGCCUACUUGGCCAUGAUCCUUUUAUAGCUGUCCCCAAUGGAUUUGGGUGUGGUCUAGGGGCAAUACAACUGAUCCUAUACUUCAUCUAUCGCAACAACAAAGGUGCAGAACCUGCCAAGAAACCCACAUCUCAAUCUGUGGAGAUGGGUUCUGGAAAGCCCCAGCAAGAUAAACAAAUGGUGGCAAAUGGGUCACUGGACGAGCAAGUUUAAACAGCACAAACAGCUUGUACUAGGUGCUCAUGAGGCUGCAGAUCAAUCGCCCCCAUAGCAUCAAUUUGAAUCGGGGGUGGAAGUGUUUGAUACAAAGUGUUAUUGUUUAUCUUUCUAAUUUUGGAUUUACUACCAAUGAAAACGCGAAGUUAGGUAAUGAUCGUGUACAAACAAAGUAGAUGGUAAAGGAGUAUUUUUCAUGUCGGUUUGUGUUGUGACCACCUUUUUUGUCACUUUCUAUCUUCACGGAUGGAACUUACAGAAUCGUCCAAAUAUUUGGCAUAAAUGAGAGUGCACUAUUUCAAUGUGAUGUCG